RNAcentral lists this ribosomal RNA (252 nucleotides) under uncultured bacterium. RNAcentral describes it as "partial 16S ribosomal RNA". It matches the Rfam family "Bacterial small subunit ribosomal RNA", at positions 524 to 776 of the family's 1533-position model. The record is from RNAcentral.
UACGUAGGGUGCAAGCGUUAAUCGGAAUUACUGGGCGUAAAGCGUGCGCAGUCGGUUUUGUAAGUCUGAUGUGAAAUCCCCGGGCUCAACCUGGGAAUUGCAUUGGAGACUGCAAGGCUAGAAUCUGGCAGAGGGGGGUAGAAUUCCACGUGUAGCAGGGAAAUGCGUAGAGAUGUGGAGGAACACCGAUGGCGAAGGCAGCCCCCUGGGUCAAGAUUGACGCUCAUGCACGAAAGCGUGGGAGCAAACAGG